UGAAUACGAGACGCUAAGGCGUCGAAGUAGUGUAUGUCAUACUUCCAAGAAAAGCUUGCACUGUCAUAGAUAAAAAACGCCUGUACCAUAACCGACACAGGUGGGUAGGUAGAGUAUACUAAGGGGCGCGAGAUAACUCUCUCUAAGGAACUCGGCAAAAUAACUCCGUAACUUCGGGAGGAGGAGUGCCUUAUUCGUAAGGUUGCAAUAACAAGAUCCAAGCAACUGUUUAUCAAAAACACAGGUCUCCGCUAAGUCGUAAGACGAUGUAUGGGGGCUGACGCCUGCCCAGUGCCAGAAGGUUAAAGAAGUUGGUUAGCAAUUGCGAAGCUGAUAACUGAAGCCCUGGUGAACGGCGGCCGUAACGAUAACGGUCCUAAGGUAGCGAAAUUCCUUGUCGGGUAAGUUCCGACCCACACGAAAGGCGUAAUGAUUUGGAUACUGUCUCGGAGAGGGGCUCGGUGAAAUAGACUUGUCUGUGAAGAUGCGGACUACCUGCACCAGGACAGAAAGACCCUAUGAAGCUUUACUGUAACUUGAAAUUGAAAUUGGACUUUAUUCGCGCAGUAUAGGUGGGAGGCGUUGAUUAUAAUCUUGUGGGAUUAUUGGAGCCAUCAGUGAGAUACCACUCUUGUAAUGUUAGAUUUCUAACUUUGAAUCAUUAUCUGGUCAAAGAACAGUUUCAGGCGGGCAGUUUGACUGGGGCGGUCGCCUCCUAAACGGUAACGGAGGCGUACAAAGGUUUCCUCUGAACGGUUAGAAAUCGUAUCUAGAGUGUAAAGGCAUAAGGAAGCUUGACUGUGAGACCUACAAGUCGAGCAGGGACGAAAGUCGGUCUUAGUGAUCUGACGGUACUGAGUGGAAAGGCCGUCACUCAACGGAUAAAAGUUACUCUAAGGAUAACAGGCUGAUCUCCCCCAAGAGUUCACAUCGACGGGGAGGUUUGGCACCUCGAUGUCGGCUCAUCGCAUCCUGGGGCGGUAGUACGUCCCAAGGGUUGGGCUGUUCGCCCAUGAAAGCGGUACGCGAGCUGGGUUCAGAACGUCGUGAGACAGUUCGGUCCAUAUCCGGUGUAGGCGUUAGAAUAUUGAGAGGAGCCUUCUUUAGUACGAGAGGACCGAGAAGGACAUACCUCUGGUGUACCAGUUAUCGUGCCAACGGUAAACGCUGGGUAGCUAUGUAUGGAGUGGAUAACCGCUGAAAGCAUCUAAGUGGGAAGCCCACCUCAAGAUAAGUAUUCU
Molecule: ribosomal RNA, 1241 nt
Filed under: metagenome
Description: bacterial LSU rRNA
Rfam family: Bacterial large subunit ribosomal RNA
Source: RNAcentral